RNAcentral lists this ribosomal RNA (409 nucleotides) under uncultured soil bacterium. RNAcentral's name for it is "bacterial SSU rRNA". It matches the Rfam family "Bacterial small subunit ribosomal RNA", at positions 26 to 428 of the family's 1533-position model. The record is from RNAcentral.
AGAUUGAACGCUGGCGGCAUGCCUUACACAUGCAAGUCGAACGGCAGCACGGACUUCGGUCUGGUGGCGAGUGGCGAACGGGUGAGUAAUAUAUCGGAACGUACCCUGGAGUGGGGGAUAACGCAGCGAAAGUUGCGCUAAUACCGCAUACGAUCUACGGAUGAAAGUGGGGGCUCGCAAGACCUCAUGCUCGUGGAGCGGCCGAUAUCUGAUUAGCUAGUUGGUAGGUAAAAGCCUACCAAGGCAUCGAUCAGUAGCUGGUCUGAGAGGACGACCAGCCACACUGGACUGAGACACGGCCCAGACUCCGUACGGGAGGCAGCAGGUAGGGGAAUUUUUGGAACAGUGGGGGACCAACCCGUGACGUCCGAGCAAUGCCGCGUGAGUAGAAGAGGCCUUACGGUAGUAA